This 283-nucleotide long non-coding RNA is filed under the name Elaeis guineensis (African oil palm). RNAcentral's name for it is "long non-coding RNA (EGUI_LNC039073)". The record is from RNAcentral. Lineage: Eukaryota; Viridiplantae; Streptophyta; Magnoliopsida; Arecales; Arecaceae.
UAGGAGACUAUCUCCUAUAUGAGAACUAUUCUCAGGUUCUUCAACCAUUCAAUGAAUUUCGGUCAAUUUAAAAAAUAUCAAAAAUAUCAUGCAGUGAUAGUGAAGAUGCAAAUAUAUAAGAACAUAAAAAGAAUACUCAUGAUGACAUACAUAAUUUAGAUAAGAUUUUAAUCUAAUUAUGUCUUCCACUAGUUUAACAAAUUUCAUAGCCCUCAAGUAUGAAAAAUGAGGAAACCUACCAUCUAGCUCCUUAGUGGGGUUGAAAUCUCAAUUCCUCAUAAAA